AAAUGGUAAACACAGAAAUGAAAGGGAGAAACACAAUAUGAAACCCCCUAGAGCCUGGCAGCUAUUGAGGCGUGGCUUCCUUUUAGUCAUGGUCGGCGUUACAAACCGGGACUAAAGAUCCUCCUGCCAGGCCUCCCACGGCGGUCACGUGAAGUUCCUUUAGUCCCGAUUCGUAAGCAAAUCGGGACUAAAAAUAUUGGGCAUUAGUCCCGAUACAUUUGUCCUGGUUUCAGAACCAAGACUAAAUGCCCUUUUAAACUGGGAUUGAUGCCUUGUUUUCCACUAGUGAUAGUAGAGAAGAAGUGAUGGAAAAAGAGCAAAGACUAAUCAUCGUAAGAAGGAAUUAAUGGAGACUAUAACGGUGAAUGCGAACGUGCUCUGAUUGAGCCGGUUCCAAAGGCGUUGGAAAGAUCUAGGGAAACUAGGAUACAAAGACUUCUAAUUCUAGCGAUCAGGAUGAUUUUACACACGCACACCCCGUGCACACGUGCGCAAAGUCUGAGCCCCAUAAAAGGCUGUUUAGACUAUCAAAAAGGGCUUACAAAGUUUGGAAAACUAUUUGUUUGUGCAAUUUCACCUCGAAAUUCGAAGGGGCACUACGUCUGUACGGUCUUCAGUUAAGAAGAAUCCCACCGAUGAGCGUCUACGAUAAGAUGUUACACUCAUAUCCCUCUUUGUCUUGUCUACGUGUUAUGGCCAGCAGCAGCAGCCCUCUCCAAGCAUUGCAAUCGGCGCCCGCAUUGUCCACGACGGAGCUUUUUCGAUAUAGUUCCCAUAGUUAUCUGUUCGGGAGAAGUAUAUUGAUAUCUUGUUCACAUAAAGCCAUGCUAGUUUAGUUUUCCAUCAGCUAAAAGGUAUUGUACGCAGAAAAAUCGAAACAUUGUUAAUGUGGUGGUACCUUGGAUUAUGAUAGGGGUGCAGCGAUGUCACUCCGGCCAACAAUGUGCAUGUUUGUAUCUCUUUGCAGUGAGAAAAACAACAGGGCCGCGUCCACUGGGUCCACCGACUAGGAAAUUAAGAGACA
This 1024-nucleotide long non-coding RNA is filed under the name Hordeum vulgare. RNAcentral describes it as "long non-coding RNA (HVUL_LNC017297)". The record is from RNAcentral. Lineage: Eukaryota; Viridiplantae; Streptophyta; Magnoliopsida; Poales; Poaceae.